AUGGGAACGCGAAGAACCUUACCUAGACUUGACAUCUCCUGAAUAGUGUAGAGAUACAUGAAGCCCUUCGGGGCAGGAAGACAGGUGGUGCAUGGUUGUCGUCAGCUCGUGUCGUGAGAUGUUGGGUUAAGUCCCGCAACGAGCGCAACCCUUAUUACUAGUUGCUACCAUUAAGUUGAGCACUCUAGUGAGACUGCCCGGGUUAACCGGGAGGAAGGCGGGGAUGACGUCAAAUCAUCAUGCCCCUUAUGUCUAGGGCAACACACGUGCUACAAUGGUGAGUACAGAUAGAUGCGAUACCGCAAGGUGGAGCCAAACUCUAAAACUCAUCCCAGUUCGGAUUGUAGGCUGCAACUCGCCUACAUGAAGUUGGAGUUGCUAGUAAUCGCGAAUCAGAAUGCUACGGUGAAUACGUUCCCGGGUCUUGUAC
Molecule: ribosomal RNA, 430 nt
Filed under: uncultured bacterium
Lineage: Bacteria
Description: bacterial SSU rRNA
Rfam family: Bacterial small subunit ribosomal RNA
Source: RNAcentral